This is an RNA transcript of Musa acuminata AAA Group (dessert banana), 6635 nucleotides long. It is a transcript of the gene named F-box/LRR-repeat protein 4-like, with no coding region annotated. The record is from RefSeq and is a predicted model, not a curated record. The transcript is spliced from 3 exons. NCBI's taxonomy places the organism in Eukaryota, Viridiplantae, Streptophyta, Magnoliopsida, Zingiberales, Musaceae.
UUGUCCACCGCUUGCUCCGGAAAACCCUAUCCGCCCUCUCCCUCUUCUCGAUCCUCUGCUUCGAGGUGCCCAUCGACGACCACUGGUUACCGCCCGUGAAGCCAUCGUCUGGCAUCUACUCCUUCGCUCGGGGGAUGGGAAUGCCCUCCGAACCACAAUCCCGACAAGCUCCUCUCUGUUGCGAGAUUACUGCCACCACCUCCGCAAGGACAAGGGGAUCGAGAGCCUCAAUGUGGCCUGAGCCGAAGCUCUAGGGAGACGCUCAAGGCAGUGCAGUGGUGGAGCAGCUCAUCAUCACAGUGGCGCGGCUGGGGAGCACCAUCCUUCCGCUGAUCGUAGCCCUCCAGGUCGGAAAUUGGAAUCUAGAGGCCACCGCUGGAGUAGAUAGGGGAAGGUUUCCGACCGUGAGAAUUCCCUAUGCGUGGAGCACUCAAAGCAAUUACAGAGUUCGCCGUAGUGUCAUCGUUGAUGCAGUUGUACUGACGGGGGGGAGAAGGCACAGCUGCCUGCAUUACACAUCCCCAGGAGAGAUGCAGCAAUGCUGAAGAGAGAAGAUUAUCCACUGGCACAGCAUCCCUGCCUACCAACUUGAGCUUUAUCCGGUUGGACUGCAUGGGCACAGACAGUCAUAUGAAUUGUGAGCUCUAUCAUGACCGGUUAGCAUUUCUUCCUCUCCCUAAAUACGAAUCCACUAUACCUGAGGCCAAUUCAGAAUGAUUUCCAUGGAUUCAUUGAGCUGAAAACAGUGUAUCAUCGAGGGAUGGAUUGCGGGUCUUGUUACAUCCUGGUUUAAUCACAUUGGAUGUGUCGAAAAAUAUGAAUUGGAUUAUAAGAGUUCGAUGGAUGUACAAAAAUUAACUUUGACUUAAGCAUUCGGAGUCAGUAGUUUAAACUCAAUGAAAUUAAUAGAUCAAUGUUGAAAUUUUUGAAUUGGAUUAUAAGAGUUUGAUGGAUGGUACAACAAUUAACUUUGGCUUAAGCAUUUGGAGUCAGUAGUUUAAACUCAAUGAAAUUAAUAGAUCAGUUAUUCUAUUAAGGAUCCUGUCAAGUCGGAUCAUGAACUGGGUGUCUGGACAUAUAAACAGAGGUUUGAAAUGUUCAUGUUAGCCAAAGUCCGAUGCAACAGUUCGCCUUGAUUGUUAUUCUCUUCGAUGCUAUUUCCUUCACUUGAUAUGACAAAUUUCACAAAUCGAUGGUGCUACAAGUUUGGUCUUCUUUGACGCUUCUUCCCUUCUAUCACUGAAGGUAUGUAUCUGAUACUUUGACAUGCACUGGUGCAAUGCUAUGGAACAUACAAGAAAUACAUUACUAUGUUUUUUUUACUGCAAAUCACAUUAUGAUUAGCAGGUAAACACAUGAAAGCAAACAGAUACUUCAAACAAAAUUGAGAAGCUAGCUUAAGAAUUUUUAACUAAUAUUUAGAUUUGACUACAAUACUAAUUAAUUAUUUAUCUGGUCUCAUCUCAAACUUUUGUCAAGCAGGCUAGUGCAUCAAGAAAAAUCAAUCAGUUAAAAGUUAUGAUCAUGAUGGAUAUUUACCAUGUGACUUAUUUUUCAAACAUACUUGUAAUGCUUAGUAGCCUGUCAUAAAGCUUGCCUACCUCAUAAGCUACUGUUUAUUUGCUUUUUGUGUGAUGGUUAAAUUGUGCUGUGGUUUCAUGGAUACAAAUGAGACUUUAUUUUUGUUUGAGCAUGUUCUUCUACAAUCAUAUUUAGAUGAUCUGCUCAUGUAGAUUACAAGAAAUGAACUUUAUGUAGCCUUCCACAUAUCAAUCUAUCAUGAUUACGAAACAGGGAAAAAAGAUAUUUCUGGUUGUUUCUGUUGAAUCUCUCUAGAUAAGUCAUUGGCAUAGUAUAUGACUUUAUCCUAGCUCAUAUAAUGUUAUAACUCUAAAAGAUGCAGUGUGUUUUAUAUAAAUUCACUGAUCAGGAAAAUUAGAGACUUGAACAUAUGUUUUUAUCCUAAACAAAUUUAAUAGGAAGAAAAUAUGAUUUUGUUAAUGUCUUGAGCUAAUUCUGUAAGAAUCUUGGUCGCAUGCAUGGUAAGCAGAUGGUGACAAUUAAUGUAGAGGUUCCUUCACACUUGUUGUAGGCCAGAGGCAACCUCUUGUCUGAUGCUCAGUGUAGUUUCCCUCAUGACCCACUAAAAUUCUGCACAUAGAUUGGAUCCUUGUCCAUCAAAAAAUUCACUUGCAAUGCUAUUAUGCUGAAAGGUUUGGUGCAAAGUCUCAUCUGUAUAUUAUUAAAUAGGUUAAAGUCAUCUAGCAUUAUCAAGUCAACAGUUUGAUGAUCCUUUUGAACUAAUUUUAGAUAAGCUCUUUGAUCAUGGUAUGAUAGAUAGGAAUUUCAAUCAGCUCAAAAGUUCUAGGUUCUGGACCACCCACAACAUGUGAAUAUAUACUUACCGUGGCCCUCGAAAAGAUUGGGUAUUAUGCCAUUAUUUGCUAGGCACAAGAGUUCACUAGAUGCAAUAUGUUUUCUGGGGUUGCUGCAAUUGUAUUUUUUUACGACCUAGAUGUUGGCCUUUCUCCCAGGAAUACCAUGUACAUAUAGCAACUUAUUUCUGGCUGCUUGUUAAUUUUCAGAAGACAAAAUAAUAACAAAGAGAAAAAUGUGAUUAAAGAAAAAAGUUUACUCCAUGCCAUAUGUUUGAUGGAAUUGAUAGAUUAGGAAAAAUCACAUAUCAACAUUAUCUCCAAGAGAACAAUUUGUCAAGAAUAUAUGCCUCCUCUUCUUUGCUAGUUAUCUGCAUGAGUCUGCUUCUUUAAAGAUUAAAUAUCACAUUUUCCACAUGAAUCCCUUGACCUGCAACACAAUUCCAUUCUAGAAAAAGACAUCAGGGGGCUCCUUUUCCAAAGUUGUAAGAGCAAAUUUUCAUUCAUUGGGCUAAUACCAUGUGUGGUCUUAAUUUCCAAUGUGAAGUGAAUCUGAUUCUGCUCUCCUUGCUUCCUCUGAAACUUCAUUAGGUAAGACUUAGGAAGCUAAUCCCUGCAAAACCUUUAGCUCUAGGUAGAAUAUGGGACUUGAAAAGAUCAACCUGAAAGCCUUUCUAAAAGUUUAGGCUUGACCCAACUGGAAGAAUGACCUUGUUUUUUGAACUUAACUUUUGCCUCCUGUGACACUGUUUUGCACCUAUGUUUGGUUACUUUUGUUUUAUUUAUCUUGGUGGGUUUUGUGCCUGCAAUCAGAUACUUGUAUGCCACCUUUACUUAAUUUUUUUUGUAAUGUCCUUUUACUUGAGAGUAAUGCUAUUUAGUAUGACUUGCCAAACACUGCUUGUGAAAUCAAUCUAUGAAAAUAAAAUUCAUGGUUGUUCUUAAGCUAAAUUAAUCAUCCACACUUGCUAUAUUAUCAUUUUGCUUGCAUGAAGAGCUACAUGCUGAGGGAAUAGACAUAUGUCAGAAUUGACUACUGAUGGUAUUGAGGAACCAAACUUGUUUUAUGCAUCCUCCUGUGUCAUCAUGAUGAGAACCUUCUCACUGGCCACAUGAGAUUUGACCAGUAGAUAAUUCCAAUAUUAGUUGGCAGCAUUUUCUUGUUAGGAAAAAGGAAUUAAUUAUCACAGGGAAGAAAGUUGACAACAUGGCUGCCACCUUCAUGGUGAUGUUAUAGUGUGAUCUGCUUCACCCACCACUGCAUGGUGAGUCGUACGUACAUAAAACCUAAAUUACUUGUGCCAAUCUUAAGAGUUAAAAGGCAUGGUAGAUUGAACCAACCAAAAUUACAAUUGAACCCUGUGCUUCAGCUGGUUUUUUCUUGCCAACCGGACUGAGAAAGGACUUCUACCCCUUCGUAGUCGCUGUUCCUUCCCUUGCGUGGGCCCCAAGUAACUGUUGCAGUCAUCAGUCUGGUAGAACCGACGGGUAUGAGUUGGCCGGGAAGGGUACUCAGCAUCUUACACGGUGCGGUUGCUUCGUGUGGUGCUCUCUAGUGGGUCCCAUGCGGCUUUUCCGGUAUUUAGCGUGUACGGAACGGGUAUGAAGAGAAGAAGCGUGUGGCAGCGGAGCUGAGAGGGGUAGCGGUGAAACGAACACGGUGGCGGUUGAUGAAUCAAUGGCGGCAAAAGCAGAGUCCAGAGAGGCGCCUCCUCAGCCACACGGCAGCGCCGGUGGGACCGCCACACUUCUCUGUUGUCUCUUCUCCUCCUUUCCUCCCUUCCCCACCUUUUUCUUCCAUCCGUCCGCGUCGCCAUCAUCCCCAACCUCCUCUCCCUCUUUUCUCCUCCUCCUCCUCCCUUCAUCGUCCGUCGAAACGUGAGAGGUGGUAGGGGAGAGAGAGUUCGAAAGGGAGAGGCAAGGAGGAGAAGAGGGUGAGAUGGAUAUGGUGUUGUGUGAUGAGCUGGUUCAGGAGAUCCUGCGGCGGCUGCCUCCCUCCUCCGCCCCGUCCGUCUCCCUCGUCUCCAAGCGUUGGCUCUGCCUCCUCCGCUCCUCCACCACCUCCCUCUCCCUCCGCAUCCCCCCACAUCAAACGACCCCGAUUAUUUCUCCGAGCAAUAAUUCGCCAUCACUCCCCUCCAUCCUCUCCCACUACCCCUUCCUCACCGACCUCACCGUCGUGGACGAGGACAACCCCGCCGACGACCUCCUCCUCGCCAUCGCCGCCGCCGCCUGCUCCUCCCGUCUCGCCCACCUGCGCUUCCUCCCGGCCUCCCCUCUAUCCCCUACCGCCCUACUCUCCUCCUCCACCGCCUUCGCUGGCCUCACUACUCUCCAAAUCGCCUCCCUCCUCCCCCUCUCCUUUCGCUGGCUCUCCUUCCUCCCCUCCCUCAAGUCCUUCUCCCUCGUCCGCUCCCGCUCCAAGCGCCCCCCCUCCCUUCGACAAGAAGCGCAACAGCUGCCGCCGGCUGCUGACGACGAUGGGGACCGGUCGGCCCUCAUGCUGCUGCCGCUGGAGAGCCUGUCUUUGUCUGGCAUCUGCGCCUCCGACCGCGGCCUCUCCUGGCUGUGGCGCCGCUGCGCCGGCCUCCGGUGGCUGCAGCUGCGCGCCUGCGAGGGAACCGGCGACGGCCCCUCCUCCCCCGUCUUCCCCCUCUGCCUCCCGGGUCUCCUCGUGCUCGAGCUCCGCACCUGCCGCGCUAUCGCCGACCGCGUCCUCCUCCACGCCGCCGACCACUGCCGCGCCCUCACCUCCCUUCUGCUCUACGACGGCGGCAGCCGCGACGCCCUUCACCACUUCAUCCACCGCCGCGGCGCCGCGCUCCGCACCCUCGACCUCCGCCUCCCGCUCGACCUCCACAACGACCACCUCUUCGCCAUCGCGGCCGACGACCGCGGCGACAGUGGCAAGCCUGGGGGCCACCGGCUCGCGGCGCUCCGCCUGCACAGCUGUUGCCUGGUCACAGGGGACGGACUCCGGUCGCUCGCCCGGUCUCCCGCUGGCGCGGCGAUCGAGGAGCUCGCCCUGGUGAACUGCGAUGUGGUGGAGAAGGAGUCCGGGCUGCUGACCUGCCUCAGCCAGAGCAUGCAGCGGCUGCGGAGGGUGGACUUGUCCCACAACGAGGGUUUGGCCGACAAGGAAGUGGGAUCGAUGCUGGCUUCUUGCAGGAAUCUGGUGGAGAUGAGGGUGAGGGGGUGCAGAGCACUGACGGGUGCUGCAUUGAGUUCCUUGCUGAAGCACUGUGGCAAGCAGGUGGAAGUCGUCGACAUCACUUGGUGCCCAGGAAUCGUCAGUGAUGCUGUUGAGAUGCUGGUCAUGAAUGCCUCCUGCCGAUUGAGGCAAUUGAUGGUCGAGGAAAACAAAGUCAAUGAAGCUGCUGCAGUUUGGCUGUCUCAGAAAGGGAUCAAGAUUGGUUGAUCAGAAGAAAGUUCUUCACAUGCCAGCAACAAAGAAGGGUACUCACUUUUAUCUAUAAGCUCUACAAGAAAUUAAUUGAUCUUUCUUUCUUGAAGUAACUCAGAUGAUUUGUAGUCAGUCACCUUAACAAAAUGUGAUGCAUCUAUAGUGCCACAUUCCAUGAACCCACCAUAUUUGCAUCUGCAUCUUAAGUUCCAGUGACUAAUUCAGGGAAUGCAGAUGGAUCCUCCCCAACCAAUUGAGGAGAGCAAAGUCAGGGAUAGAUGCUGUUUCAGAAAGGGAUUAAGAUUGGUUUGAUCAGAGAAAGGAGGAGCCGGCAGGCAUUAUACAAUGUUCCGACGACAAAUGGGUAUAUUGCUUUAAUACUCCCCAAUGUGACCAAAUAGUCAAAAACACUUUGGUUCUCAUCCUAUCAAGACUGUUGAUGAAGGCAAUUAAUUUCAUGGUUUAGUUGAUGAAUGGGCCGAAAAGGAUGAUGCUACGUUAGGUACCCUUUUUGAUGGGAUGUUUCCUCACAAAGAUGAAGGACUCGUUAGGUAACAACAGCAUUACCCGGGAUCUCUCGAUGUUCUCCACCAGCAUCAUCAGUCUUGCAUUUAGAUCAUUCAUUCAUGGCUUUGAUCUCGUCGAGGGAAGGGUUUAAGCAGCCCCCAUUCCAUUCUUCUCAACUUGACAUAUGCCGAAUAAUCUUUUUGGCAUAUGUCACCAACAAAUACAUCAAUUUGCUGUCACUUUGCAAUACGAGUGACGCUCCUUGAUAUAUGCCAAAUAAUCUUUUGUACCUUUGAGACUAAGAUGUUAUCUACUACUUACCAACCCCAGCAAUACAAGUUUCAGAAGGA